This 440-nucleotide ribosomal RNA is filed under the name uncultured bacterium. Its description in RNAcentral is "partial 16S ribosomal RNA". It matches the Rfam family "Bacterial small subunit ribosomal RNA", at positions 338 to 795 of the family's 1533-position model. The record is from RNAcentral.
CCUACGGGAGGCAGCAGUAGGGAAUAUUGCUCAAUGGGGGAAACCCUGAAGCAGCAACGCCGCGUGGAGGAUGACGGUUUUCGGAUUGUUAACUCCUUUUGUUAGAGAAGAUAAUGACGGUAUCUAACGAAUAAGCACCGGCUAACUCCGUGCCAGCAGCCGCGGUAAUACGGAGGGUGCAAGCGUUACUCGGAAUCACUGGGCGUAAAGAGCGCGUAGGCGGGAUAGCAAGUCAGAUGUGAAAUCCUAUGGCUUAACCAUAGAACUGCAUUUGAAACUGUUAUUCUAGAGUAUGGGAGAGGUAGGUGGAAUUCUUGGUGUAGGGGUAAAAUCCGUAGAGAUCAAGAGGAAUACUCAUUGCGAAGGCGACCUGCUAGAACAUAACUGACGCUGAUGCGCGAAAGCGUGGGGAGCAAACAGGAUUAGAUACCCGAGUAGUC